ACGAAAUAAAUAUAUACCAUGUUAAUAGUUCAGUAUUAAAUCCUGCUUUAAUGGGAGUGCAGUUCCUGCUAGUUCGCCGGUGGCGCUAUUGCGCACAGAGUCUGUGUAUAGACUGCAGCAGAGUUAGGGAGAACUGCUGUGGAUGUGGAUGCUAAGUUAAACCGUGUUGAUCUCACUGUUACUGCUCUGUGUGCAGGGCAAAAUAAAAUCCUCCUCAUCUGAGUCCAGUGUGUGUGUAUUGCUGAAGGGUGAAUGAAGUGGGUUCGGGAGUGAAGUAUAAAGGUCACAUAUAUAUAUAUAUAUA
Non-coding RNA from Danio rerio (zebrafish), 304 nucleotides. The record is from RefSeq and is a predicted model, not a curated record. Lineage: Eukaryota; Metazoa; Chordata; Actinopteri; Cypriniformes; Danionidae.